RNAcentral lists this ribosomal RNA (2860 nucleotides) under Cobetia sp. ICG0124. RNAcentral's name for it is "23S ribosomal RNA". It matches the Rfam family "Bacterial large subunit ribosomal RNA". The record is from RNAcentral. Lineage: Bacteria; Pseudomonadati; Pseudomonadota; Gammaproteobacteria; Oceanospirillales; Halomonadaceae.
GUUAUAUGGUCAAGCGAUUAAGCGCAUACGGUGGAUGCCUUGGCAGCCAGAGGCGAUGAAGGACGUGAUAGCCUGCGAUAAGCGUUGGCGAGGUGGCAAAUACCCUGCGACCCAACGAUUUCCGAAUGGGGAAACCCACUCACCAUCAGGUGAGUAUCUAUAGGCCAAUACAUAACCUAUAGAGGCAAACCCGGGGAACUGAAACAUCUAAGUACCCGGAGGAAAAGAAAUCAACCGAGAUUCCCCAAGUAGCGGCGAGCGAACGGGGACCAGCCCUUAAGCGAUACAACUGACAGACGAACAAGCUGGGAAGCUUGACGAUACAGGGUGAUAGUCCCGUAGUCGAAGUCUGAGUAUCGUGAAAUCGAGUAGGUCGGGGCACGAGAAACCUUGACUGAACAUGGGGGGACCAUCCUCCAAGGCUAAAUACUCCUGGCUGACCGAUAGUGAACCAGUACCGUGAGGGAAAGGCGAAAAGAACCCCGGCGAGGGGAGUGAAAUAGAUCCUGAAACCGUAUGCGUACAAGCAGUGGGAGCACCUUCGUGGUGUGACCGCGUACCUUUUGUAUAAUGGGUCAGCGACUUAUAUUCUGUGGCGAGCUUAACCGUAUAGGGGAGGCGUAGCGAAAGCGAGUCUUAACUGGGCGACCAGUCGCAGGGUAUAGACCCGAAACCGGGCGAUCUAUCCAUGGCCAGGGUGAAGAUUGAGUAACAUCAAUUGGAGGCCCGAACCCAAGUAUGUUGAAAAAUGCUGGGAUGAGCUGUGGAUCGGAGUGAAAGGCUAAUCAAGCCCGGAGAUAGCUGGUUCUCCUCGAAAGCUAUUUAGGUAGCGCCUCACGUAUCACCGCUGGGGGUAGAGCACUGUUUCGGCUAGGGGGUCAUCCCGACUUACCAACCCGAGGCAAACUCCGAAUACCAGUGAGUGCAGCGUGGGAGACACACAGCGGGUGCUAACGUCCGUUGUGAAAAGGGAAACAACCCAGACCGUCAGCUAAGGUCCCAAAAUCCUGAUUAAGUGGGAAACGAUGUGGGAAGGCUCAGACAGCUAGGAGGUUGGCUUAGAAGCAGCCAUCCUUUAAAGAAAGCGUAAUAGCUCACUAGUCGAGUCGGCCUGCGCGGAAGAUAUAACGGGGCUAAAUCAGGUACCGAAGCUACGGGUUCAUCCUUAUGGAUGAGCGGUAGAGGAGCGUCGUGUAAGCCAAUGAAGGUGGAUUGAGAAGUCUGCUGGAGGUAUCACGAGUGCGAAUGCUGACAUGAGUAACGAUAAGGGGAGUGAAAAACUCCCCCGCCGGAAGACCAAGGUUUUCUGUUCUACGUUAAUCGGAGCAGAGUGAGUCGGCCCCUAAGGCGAGGCGGAAACGCGUAGUCGAUGGGAAACGGGUUAAUAUUCCCGUACCGGAUGUGGUUGCGAUGGGGGGACGAAGAAGGCUAGGUGAGCCAGGCGUUGGUUGUCCUGGUGAAAGCAUGUAGGCCGAGGAAUCAGGCAAAUCCGGUUCCUCUGAGGUCGAGAUGCGAGACGAACUGACCACGGUCAGGAAGUCAUCGAUGCCACGCUUCCAGGAAAAGCCUCUAAGCUUCAGAUCACAUGCGACCGUACCCCAAACCGACACAGGUGGUCAGGUAGAGAAUACCAAGGCGCUUGAGAGAACUCGGGUGAAGGAACUAGGCAAAAUGGCACCGUAACUUCGGGAGAAGGUGCACCGGUUCGAGUGAAGGACUUGCUCCGUAAGCUCUUACCGGUCGAAGAUACCAGGUGGCUGCAACUGUUUAUUAAAAACACAGCACUCUGCAAACGCGCAAGCGGACGUAUAGGGUGUGACGCCUGCCCGGUGCCGGAAGGUUAAUUGAUGGGGUUAGGAUUCGUCCGAAGCUCUUGAUCGAAGCCCCGGUAAACGGCGGCCGUAACUAUAACGGUCCUAAGGUAGCGAAAUUCCUUGUCGGGUAAGUUCCGACCUGCACGAAUGGCGUAAUGAUGGCCACGCUGUCUCCACCCGAGACUCAGUGAAAUUGAAAUCGCAGUGAAGAUGCUGUGUACCCGCGGCUAGACGGAAAGACCCCGUGAACCUUUACUAUAGCUUUACACUGGAUGCUGAUGUUGUCUGUGUAGGAUAGCUGGGAGGCUUUGAAACCGCGUCGCCAGAUGCGGUGGAGCCGGAUCGAGGACAGUGUAUGGUGGGUAGUUUGACUGGGGCGGUCUCCUCCUAAAGAGUAACGGAGGAGCACGAAGGUACCCUCAGCACGGUUGGAAAUCGUGCAUUGAGUGCAAGAGCAUAAGGGUGCUUGACUGCGAGACAGACACGUCGAGCAGGUACGAAAGUAGGUUCUAGUGAUCCGGUGGUUCUGUAUGGAAGGGCCAUCGCUCAACGGAUAAAAGGUACUCCGGGGAUAACAGGCUGAUACCGCCCAAGAGUUCACAUCGACGGCGGUGUUUGGCACCUCGAUGUCGGCUCAUCACAUCCUGGGGCUGAAGUCGGUCCCAAGGGUAUGGCUGUUCGCCAUUUAAAGUGGUACGCGAGCUGGGUUUAGAACGUCGUGAGACAGUUCGGUCCCUAUCUGCCGUGGGCGUCGGAAGUUUGAGAAGAGCUGCUCCUAGUACGAGAGGACCGGAGUGGACGAACCUCUGGUGUUCGGGUUGUCAUGCCAAUGGCAUUGCCCGGUAGCUACGUUCGGACGGGAUAACCGCUGAAAGCAUCUAAGCGGGAAGCCCCCUUCAAGAUGAGACUUCCCUGAGGCCUUGCGCCUCCUGAAGGGCCCUUGAAGACUACAAGGUUGAUAGGCUGGGUGUGGAAGCACAGCAAUGUGUUGAGCUAACCAGUACUAAUUGCCCGUGAGGCUUGACCAUAUAACACCCAAGGGGUUU